Molecule: ribosomal RNA, 467 nt
Filed under: uncultured bacterium
Lineage: Bacteria
Description: partial 16S ribosomal RNA
Rfam family: Bacterial small subunit ribosomal RNA
Source: RNAcentral
GAUGAAUGCUGGCGGCGUGCCUAACACAUGCAAGUCGAGCGGCAGCGCGAGUAGUUUACUACUUGGCGGCGAGCGGCGGACGGCUGAGUAACGCGUGAGAACGUGCCCCAAAGUGAGGGAUAACGCACCGAAAGGUGUGCUAAUACCGCAUAUGGUCUUCGGAUUAAAGAAUUUAUUCGCUUUGGGAGCGGCCCGCGUCGGAUUAGGUAGUUGGUAGGGUAAUGGCCUACCAAGCCGACGAUCCGUAGUUGGUCUGAGAGGAUGAUCAGCCAGACUGGAACUGAGACACGGUCCAGACUCCUACGGGAGGAAGCAGUGAGGAAUCUUCCACAAUGGGCGAAAGCCUGAUGGAGCAACGCCGCGUGCAGGAUGAAGGCCUUCGGGUUGUAAACUGCUUUUAUAAGUGAAGAAUAUGACGGUAACUUAUGAAUAAGCACCGGCUAACUACGUGCCAGCAGCCGCCGUAA